RNAcentral lists this ribosomal RNA (503 nucleotides) under uncultured bacterium. RNAcentral's name for it is "partial 16S ribosomal RNA". It matches the Rfam family "Bacterial small subunit ribosomal RNA", at positions 30 to 523 of the family's 1533-position model. The record is from RNAcentral.
AUUGAACGCUGGCGGCAGGCUUAACACAUGCAAGUCGAGCGGGGUGAUGGUGCUUGCACUAUCACUUAGCGGCGGACGGGUGAGUAAUGCUUAGGAAUCUGCCUAUUAGUGGGGGACAACAUCUCGAAAGGGAUGCUAAUACCGCAUACGUCCUACGGGAGAAAGCAGGGGAUCACUUGUGACCUUGCGCUAAUAGAUGAGCCUAAGUCGGAUUAGCUAGUUGGUGGGGUAAAGGCCUACCAAGGCGACGAUCUGUAGCGGGUCUGAGAGGAUGAUCCGCCACACUGGGACUGAGACACGGCCCAGACUCCUACGGGAGGCAGCAGUGGGGAAUAUUUGACAAUGGGGGGAACCCUGAUCCAGCCAUGCCGCGUGUGUGAAAAAGGCCUUAUGGUUGUAAAGCACUUUAAGCGAGGAGGAGGCUCUUUUGGUUAAUACCCAAGAUGAGUGGACGUUACUCGCAGAAUAAGCACCGGCUAACUCUGUGCCAGCCGCCGCAGUAA